AAGUCGUAACAAGGUAACCGUAGGUGAACCUGCGGUUGGAUCAUUAACAAAUGAUUUGGUUCAAACCAAAACAUUGUGUGCAAUUAUAUCUGUCUCUGGUGGGUAUCUUCAAGUGUUUUCUGAACGCUGGUUGCCCCACCGAACUUGUAAAAACAACUGUUUCUUUUUUCCAGUCUGAUUCAUUCACUGUAACCCUUUGUGGUUAUGAUUGUGCAAUGGAAAACAAUUUUUAACAACGGAUCUCUUGGUUCUC
Molecule: unclassified non-coding RNA, 253 nt
Filed under: Chytridiomycota sp.
Lineage: Eukaryota; Fungi; Chytridiomycota
Description: partial contains small subunit ribosomal RNA, internal transcribed spacer 1, and 5.8S ribosomal RNA
Rfam family: Eukaryotic small subunit ribosomal RNA (bases 1-46)
Source: RNAcentral